UGCCUUGCAUCGCCAUCUAUUAAUACUAAACUUUAGAAAAAGGGGUUCUCAUAAAGUAUUGGGACAUUUAUAAAAUCCUCUGUAAUGGAUAUGAAUAAAGAGAAAUGUGGGGUAUACAUCAAUAACACUCUUAACCACUGACCAAAAGACGCAUUUUUCAGAGUGAUUCUAUACAAUAUACUGAAUGAUCUGCUAACCCUUUCAGAUCUAUUGAGAUCACCAAAGUUUUUGAUGGGGUUCGUGUUGUUCUGUCUAGUAUUCCAUGUUGUGUUUUGUAUAUUGUUGUUAGUUUAAUGGUCAUUUUUCGUUUUUUGCCACGGCAUUUACAGUUUGUUUCAUUUACGAGUUAGAAUAUUGUGGUAUCUUUCGCCUCUCUUUAAGCUCUUAAUCUAAACAUUAUCAGAAAGUUGUGAAUCAACGUAACACAAACAAACAAUAAUGAGGUCUGCCAUCAACACCAAUUCUCUAGGUACAUAAGAUGAUGCUGACUAACAGCAUGGCUGUCCGUAUUAUAAAUCCGAGCUAGACAUCCUGUUUAUACUUUUUCUUUCCUUGAUAGUUUGUCCUUUGGUACGCUUGUUUUAGUACUGUUUUUGGAUGAAAUGUUUUCAUUCUGUAA
Molecule: long non-coding RNA, 619 nt
Filed under: Mytilus galloprovincialis (Mediterranean mussel)
Lineage: Eukaryota; Metazoa; Mollusca; Bivalvia; Mytilida; Mytilidae
Source: RNAcentral